GCCUAGUACCUCAGUGCUCAAGAGAUGCUGAUGCCUAAACCAAGCGGCCCCCGCCUCCUCGCCCUAUCUAGGGUGGGGCGGGGCGGGGCGAGAAUUUAAAAUAGUUUUAAUCCAGAGUUCUAUAUCUGGUGGUGUUAUUUGUCAAAUGUGGUAGAAAAGUGAAGACUUUACAAGAAACAAAUCUUAAAGAAAUUAAUGAUCACUAAAGCAGCACUGCAGAAAAUAAUUCAGAAAAUCCAAGAGAGACAAAGGCGGCUCUACCAGCAUCGCAGUACUGAUUAGCUAAUGGAAGCAGUUUAAUCUUGAUUAUUUCACCUUAUUUUUGCUAAAUUAAGUUCUGUAUUACUCAAGUAUUUUGUCUUGAAAGUUUCCUUUGAAGCUUUGCAUGCUACUUGCCCGAGGCACAUCAUUUGCACUGAUAUGGAACCUUCAGUUUUUCACAGGAAGCAAGAGGACAACUUUAAAUAUUGCCUGCACAUGUGAUCUAUCACCUUCUAAAUCAUAGGAUUUACCACUUUGUUAAAUUCACAUCUCAACACAGAAGAUGCAGUUUCUUUCUAAACGUAUAAACCCAAGUCACAGCAUUACAAGACAUGAAUGCAGGUUCCCAUGGUGCCGGGCAACUGAAAACAGUAAGAACCAACUGCAGCAGGGCACGAGGUGAAGUCCUAGUUGGAAUCAGUCUGUGAAGUGUUUGGCAACGUGAAUACAGCUUUCUUUCACUGUUAUUGCUAUUGUCAUUGAUUUUAUCACCUACACAUAUACCAGGACUCAAUAUAAGAAUAAAAUAAAAAUAUAUUACACAGAAACAAACAACCUGAUGAAUAUAAUGGACGAUUGGUUCUCUCAAAUUUAAUCGAGAGGAAAAAAUGAAUAACUGAAUGCUAUAAUAAUUUUAUUUAUUUU
RNAcentral lists this long non-coding RNA (906 nucleotides) under Heterocephalus glaber (naked mole-rat). RNAcentral's name for it is "lncRNA (ENSHGLG00000045750.1)". The record is from RNAcentral. Lineage: Eukaryota; Metazoa; Chordata; Mammalia; Rodentia; Bathyergidae.